GCCUACGGGGCGCAGCAGUGGGGAAUAUUGGGCAAUGGGCGCAAGCCUGACCCAGCAACGCCGCGUGAAGGAAGAAGGCUUUCGGGUUGUAAACUUCUUUUAAGAGGGAAGAGCAGAAGACGGUACCUCUUGAAUAAGCCACGGCUAACUACGUGCCAGCAGCCGCGGUAAUACGUAGGUGGCAAGCGUUGUCCGGAUUUACUGGGUGUAAAGGGCGUGCAGCCGGGAAGACAAGUCAGAUGUGAAAUCCCGCGGCUCAACCCCGGGACUGCAUUUGAAACUGUCAGGCGGGAGUGCAGGAGAGG
This 305-nucleotide ribosomal RNA is filed under the name uncultured bacterium. Its description in RNAcentral is "bacterial SSU rRNA". It matches the Rfam family "Bacterial small subunit ribosomal RNA", at positions 337 to 657 of the family's 1533-position model. The record is from RNAcentral.